Molecule: long non-coding RNA, 332 nt
Organism: Synchiropus splendidus (mandarinfish)
Lineage: Eukaryota; Metazoa; Chordata; Actinopteri; Syngnathiformes; Callionymidae
Exons: 3
Source: RefSeq, a predicted model, not a curated record
UGUUUUUUGUUUUAUUCAACGCCUGUGCGUAUGAAAACAGACGAUCAGUCAGAGGUCGAAGGAGUAGGGCACCCGCUCGUUGAUUUUUUAACUCACCAGACGCCUCAGCUGAUAGGAGAUACAAAGACAACGAGCACGCCACACCUUCUACCUGUCGCUUCAACACCAACACCAACACCAACGUUUGCUCUCCCCUCUGGGUCUUGGCCUUUGUGGGAGACAUUGACGCCGGUUUCCUCAGUACCUCUGGAUCUACUAUCCGGACCGUUCCCUGCUGAAGACUCGACGUCGGCAUCUGGGCUAUCCGCACCUCCACAGCCACCGUCGCCGAC